AUUGAACGCUGGCGGCAUGCUUUACACAUGCAAGUCGAACGGCAGCGCGGGCUUCGGCCUGGCGGCGAGUGGCGAACGGGUGAGUAAUGCAUCGGAACGUGCCCAGUAGUGGGGGAUAGCCCGGCGAAAGCCGGAUUAAUACCGCAUACGACCUGAGGGCGAAAGCGGGGGACCGAAAGGCCUCGCGCCAUUGGAGCGGCCGAUGUCGGAUUAGCUAGUUGGUGGGGUAAAGGCUUACCAAGGCGACGAUCCGUAGCUGGUCUGAGAGGACGACCAGCCACACUGGGACUGAGACACGGCCCAGACUCCUACGGGAGGCAGCAGUGGGGAAUUUUGGACAAUGGGGGCAACCCUGAUCCAGCCAUGCCGCGUGCGGGAAGAAGGCCUUCGGGUUGUAAACCGCUUUUGUUCGGGAAGAAAUCCUCUGGGCUAAUACCCCGUGGGGAUGACGGUACCGGAAGAAUAAGCACCGGCUAACUACGUG
RNAcentral lists this ribosomal RNA (484 nucleotides) under uncultured bacterium. RNAcentral's name for it is "partial 16S ribosomal RNA". It matches the Rfam family "Bacterial small subunit ribosomal RNA", at positions 28 to 507 of the family's 1533-position model. The record is from RNAcentral.